This 19606-nucleotide long non-coding RNA is filed under the name Vitis vinifera (wine grape). RNAcentral describes it as "long non-coding RNA (VVIN_LNC002162)". Lineage: Eukaryota; Viridiplantae; Streptophyta; Magnoliopsida; Vitales; Vitaceae. The record is from RNAcentral.
ACCUGUUGAGUGUGCGGUUCAUGGGUCCUGUUAAUGGCUUCCGCGGUGGUCAUCACGAUGACGCUCUGGUCGUAGAUCCUAGCGUCCAUGAGGCGAAAAUUGACAUUAUAGAUGUUUCUUGAUAAAACAAGCUCUGCCACCUCCAGGCGUGCCUCUCUGGAAAUUGUGGAGACCGCGGCAUUGAGACAGCUGGUCUUGCCCUCGGUGGUGAGUCUCUUACAGAAAUUGUUGUUACCUAAGUUGCGGAGAGCGACCACAUUGUUGUCAACUCUAACAGGCCAAAACAAGGUAUCGGAGUUGUUGGUGGUGGAAUCAUCGGAGUCAGCCCAUAUCCAGUUAGGGCUGCGCCUCCAGAAUCUGCCGAAGUAAUCUGACUUUAUGCGGACGCUUCCAUCGUGAGUGGUGAAGACCUCGUUCCCCACCGUCGGGUCUCCAAUGUCACUUGAUGCGAACUCCAGAUAUGGGUGUCCCUCGAUCUUCCGGGCACUGAGGUAGUGGCCAUUAUCGCCCUUGAAGGCGAUAUGUUUUGGCAAUAUCAAUAGUGAUUCCCAAUCAAUGAUUGUACAGACAUCGCAGAGGUCGUUGUCAGCCGAAGUUGAUCCUGCAAACAAACAGGAACCAUAAGGAGGUGGAAGCCUCCAUAAGCAUGCAUAGUGUCCGAGCUGGACGUGGCGAAAUCGGAGUGUUUGAGCAUCGCCAUCUACGUGCACAGGCUCGAACAAGGUGCAUGACCAUGACGAUUGGUCUUCAUCUGGUUCGUCCGCCCCGGCAACAAUCCACCAGUGGUUCUUGGACCACCUUACCCAGUAUUUGUUGUUGUAGCAGCAUCUUAUGUGCACUAGUCCCCCGCCAUUCUUUGCCCUCUCCACUUGGUACUUUGAGUAGGGUGUCACGACCUCCUCUCCCGAGAAUUGGAGAAAUCCAUGAAUUUGCACAUCUUCAUGGAUGUACCGCAAGUACUUGUUGUUAUAUUUUGAUUUGAGCACCACAUACCUUGGUAAUGCCAUUUCCUCUUUAAUCACUUCUCACUGCACUUUUCUUCCCUUCACUCGGCCUUAUUUAUAAGGGAAAAAACUAUACUUAGAUGUGAAACCAUAUUUCACAUCGUAGACUUUCAUUUGCAUUCCCAUUCUGAUUUGGUAGAUAAAUUUAAGAUGCUAUUUAUUCCUCUGGGUCCCGCAACUUUCAUUGAAUAUCAUUAAUAGCAAGACUAAAACCACAUGUCAAAUUGUAGACUUUUACUCGUAUUCUCAUUUACAUUCCCGUUCUCAUUUGGUAGAUACAAAUAAAUUUAAGAUGCUAUACAUUUCUGUGUCCCACAACUUUUAUUGAAUAUCAUUGAUAGCAAGACUUAAACCACAUGUCAAGUUGUAAACUUUGAUUUGUAUUCUCAUUUGCAUUCUUGUUCUCAUUUGGUAGAUAAAGAAAUUUAAGAUCCUAUAUAUUUAUGUGUCCCACAACUUUUAUUGAAUAUCAUUAAUAGCAAGACUAGAACCACGUCAAAUUAUAGACUUUGAUUCGUAUUCUCAAUUGCAUUACCAUUCUCAUUUGGUAAAUGUAUAUACCAAUAAAUCAAGACAUCCUUUCUUUCCAUUGCAUGCUUAGUGUGGAUAAGAAAGACUCCCAUAAAACAAAUAAUGUAUAUAUGACAUAAAAAUAAAACUAUGCAUUAAACAUAAAACAUUUUAGUGGUAAAAAUAGUAAAUUGGAUUGCAAAUAGUGAGAUUUCAUUAAUAAUCAUAUAACCUAUAAAGACACGUUGAUGGUAGAAGUUAGGUUUUUUGGGUCUCCUAUAAAUAAUUUCACAUGACAUCUAUUAUUAAUACACACUUCUAUAACACUCUCACUAGCCAUUUAACAAUCGUCGAUAGUCUAUAACUCAUACAUUGACUACCAUAAUUUUUUUUUGCUUUCCAUUAUUUUAUUUUUCUCUUCAGUAUAAUAUUUAUAAUAUGAUAAUAUUGAUUAUUUAGAUUUUGUGAGAAAUAAGAAGAUAAAUACAUGAUCUAGUUUUAUUCCUAAUUGAAUAAACCAAAAACUAAAUUUAAAUAUAUAUAAAACCAUGUUUCACAUUGUGGAUUUAGAUUCACAUUCCCAUUUGCAUUCUCAUUCUUAUUUGGUGGAUAGCAAUGAUAUAAUAUAUUAUUUCUUCCAUUAUAUAUGUCUCUCAAUAUGAAUUAAACUACAAGACAUCAUUUCUUUCUAUAUCACAUGCUUGGCUAAUGAUAAGAAAGACUUUGACAUAACAAGUAAUAUGAAUGCGUGAAAUGUAAAAGAUUUAAUGGAGAAAAGGAUAAGAGUGAACAUAAGUGGUAAGUGGUGGGAUUUCCUUAAUCAUUAAUAAUUAAUAAUGAUAGAAGUUAGGUUUGUCAAGUCUUCCUUUGUAAAUAAUUAUUAUUUUACUAGAAUUUAUAAAUACACAAAAAAAAAUAGUAGUAGAUGUGAAUCUCAUGUAAAAAGCUAAUCUUGAGUGAUAAAUGGUGUUAACCCUUAUGAGAAGAGUCGUCUUUAAUUCUAAUUUUUGUGGGAUUGGAAACAUGACUCGGAUUGGAUCAAACAAAUGAAAUUGAUUUUUCAAAAUUUUAUAUUUUAUUGCAUCAAUAAAUAUCUUAAUCUAAUAUAUAAUUUAUCAACCUUUUAAAUUAUGAAAACAAAAUUGACUUAAUAUAUAUAAUUUUUAAACUUGUGUUUCAAUACCCAAUCACUGGUCAUUAAAAAGUCAUCAAUUUCAAAUAUUCUAUAACUCAUACAUGGACUUCUAAAUUUUAUUUUUUCAACUGACUUUAUUUUCUCUUAAGUAUAAUUGUCAAAACUAGAUAAUAUUGAUUAUUUAGAUUUUAUGACAAAUUUGAAGAUAAAAUAUACAAUCCAACUUGUUCCAAAUUGAACUAACCAAAAAUUAAAUUUAAAUGUAAAACCAAAAUUUACUUUAUAGACUAAGAUUUGCAUUCCCAUUUGAAUUCUCAUUCUUAUUUUGUGAAUACUAAUAAAUUAAAAACACUAUUUCUUUCUAUAUGCAUGCCUCACAACAUUUAUUGGAUAUCACUAACAGCAAGACUAAAACAAGGCUUCACAUUCUAUACUUCGAUUCUCUUUUCCAUUUGCAGCUCCAUUCUCAUUUGGGGGAUACCAAUAAAUCUAAAACAUAAUUUCUCUUUAUAUAUCUCACAAAAUUUAUUAGAUAUUAGUAAAUGUGUGACGUCAUAUUUCUUUUUAUCACAUGCUUGGUAAAGAUAAGGACUCACAAAACAUAUAACAUUGAGGGGUGAAAAUGGUUAAGCGAUUUGUAAGCAGUGAGAUUUGAUUAAUACUUAUAUAACCUACAAAGACAUGUUGAUGGUAGAAGUUAGGUUUGUUGGAUCUCCUUUUGUAAAGAAUUAUUAUUUUACAUGACAUAUUAAUACUCACUCCAAAAAUAAGUGGACGUAGAACAUCAUAUGAAAUAAUAAUGAUGGAUGAUGAAUAAAGUUAAUUUCCAAAAGAAGAGUCUCUCUGACGAUUUUGAGUGGGAUUGGGAAAAGAUAGAUUAAUUUGGACCAAGAAAAUCAAUUUGACUUUUAAAAAUUUUAAAUUUUGUCGGAUUUAUUUAAAAAGAAGCUAAAAUUUUCAAUCUAAUAUAUGAAUAAUCAACAUGUUAAAUGGUUGAAAACUGAAUUCACUAGGAUAUAUCUAGAAUUUUUAAAUUUGUGUGUCAAUCUACUAUGACAUCUCACCAGUUAUCAAAUAAGCAUCAAUGAGCAUAAUAUGAUAAUAUCGAUUAUUAAGAUUUUAUGAAAAAUAUGAAGAUAAAAUACAUGAUCUAGGUCCAUUCUUAAUUGAAUUAAUCAAAAAUUAAAUUUAAAUGUAAAACCAUGUUUCACAUGGUAGACUUAGAUUUACAUUCCCAUUCCCAUUUGCAUUCUCAUUCUCAUUCUCGUUUGGUAGGUACCAAUAAUAUAAGAUAUUAUAUUUCCUUUAUAUGUAUAUGUCUCACAACAUUUAUCAAACUACAAGACAUCCUUUCUUUCUACAUCACAUGUUUGGAUAAGGAUAGGAAAGACCUUGACAUAGUAAGUCACAUAUUUAGCAUAAAAAUAAAUUUGAAAUCAUGAAAGGUAAAGUAUUCAAUGAAGAAAAUGGUAGAGUGGACUACAAGUGGUGGGAUUUUCAUUAAUAGUUAAAUAACUUAUAGAGACAUGUUCAUGGUAGAAGUUAGAUUUGUCAGUCUCACUCUUUAAAUAAUUAUUGGAUGUGACAUCUAUAAAUACACACAAAAAAAGAAGUAGAUGUAGAAUCUGAAGUAAAAACUAAUCCUAAGUUAUGAAUGAGGUUAACUCCUAUGAGAAGAGUUUUUAAUAUUAAUUUUUAUGGUGUUGAAAAAAUGAAUAGAUCACAAUCAUCCAUUCCUAAUAAUUCAUAACCCUUAUAUUGAUUCCUAUAUUUUAUAUUUUUAGUUGAUUUUAUUUUUUCUCUUAAGCAUAAUUGUCACAGCAUAGUACUAUUGAUUAUUUGGAUUUUAUGACAAAUUUGAACAAGAAGUAUAUGAUCCAACUUUUUGAAAACUUGAAUUAACCAAAAAUUAUAUUUAACUUAAAACGGUAACUCACAUAAUAAACUAAGAUUUGCAUCCUCACUUGCAUUCGCAUUCUCAUUUAGAGGAUACCAAUAAAUAAAAGACAUCAUUUCUUUCCAUGUCUUACAACAUUUAAAAACUAUGUUGCACAUUUUAAACUUAAAUUCAUAUUCACAUUCCCAUUUCUGCUCUCAUUUGGUGGAUACAAACACUUACAAGACGUGAUUUCUCUCUAUUUGACUCACUACAUUUAUUAGAUAUUAGUAAUCGCAAGACUUUCUUCUUCUUUUUUUCUAUCAAGUUCACAAAACAAGUUAUAUAUCACACAUAAAAAUAAAAAAUAAAAAAAUAAAAAAAUAAAAAGUAUUCACUAUAACAUAAAGCAUUGAAUGGUGAAAAUAGUAAAGUAUACUACAAGUAGUGAGAUUUCAUUAAUAAUUUUACAAACUAUGAAGAUAUGUUGUUGGUAGAAGUUAGGUUUGUUGGGUCUCCUUCUAUAAAUAAUUAUUAUUUUACAUGACAUCUACUAAUACCCACUCCAAAAAUAAGUAGACUUAAAACCUAAUGUGAAAUAAUAACCAAAGAUGGUAAAUAAGGUUAAUUUCCAUAAGAAGAGUCUCUCUUAUAAUUUAGUGGGGUUCAAAAAAGAUGAAUUGAUUUGGACAAAGCAAAAUCAAUUUGAUUUUUCAUCAACGUAUAUUUGCACUAAGAGCAUGUCAUUUUCUUUGGUUUUUAUGAAAAGAGUUGUGUCUAUUUUUCCCAUUUUAAAACCCUCUUUCAAAAGAAAUUUACUCAAUCUUUCAUACCAUGCUCUAGGUGCUUGUUUCAAACCAUAAAAUGCCUUUUUAAGUUUAAAAACAUGAUUAGGAAGGUUAAAACUUUGAAAAUCGGGCGGUUGUUCUGUUGGGCUUUGUGGAGCCUAGUUUUGUUUGAUCCGGUUUGGCGACCUGACCCAAAUAAUAUUGCAUGACUUUUUAAUGGGAGAUUCACUAAGGCUUGUUGGGCCCGUUUAGCCCAUUGUGGAACCACCUUUUGUAAUUAGGGUUUUUAAGUGUAGUGUGGUUGCCAUGUUAUAUAUAGAGAGAAAAUAUUGUAGCCGCUGUGGUGGUACUCUAUAUUUUUCCCUGAUAAUAGUGAUAUCCCUACAACUCCGUGGACGUAGGCAAAUUGCCGAACCAUGUAAAUAUUGUCUUGUGCAUGUGAUUGUUUUUCUUUGGCGUGUGUUUUCUCUAAUUUUUGUUUCUCACGGGUUGGGAAUUCGGUUUAAUUCCCUACAACUGGUAUUAGAGCCUAGGGUUAGGUUUGAGUGGGAGCAAUGGAAAAAGAAGCAGGAAAGGCAUCUGGAAUAGAAAAGUUUGAUGGCACAGACUUUGCGUAUUGGAAGAUGCAGAUUGAAGAUUAUCUCUAUGGGAGGAAAUUGCAUCUACCUCUUUUGGGGACAAAACCUGAGAGUAUGAAGGCUGAGGAAUGGGCGCUUCUUGACAGACAGGUUCUAGGAGUUAUUAGGUUAACUCUGUCUAGGUCUGUUGCACACAAUGUUGUAAAGGAGAAGACCACAGCAGAUCUAAUGAAGGCUUUGUCCAGUAUGUAUGAAAAGUUGUCCUCAAACAAUAAGGUGCAUCUGAUAAAGAAAUUGUUCAAUUUGAAGAUGGCAAAGAAUGCAUAAAUAGCACAACAUCUGAAUGAAUUUAAUACAAUCACAAAUCAAUUAUCGUUUGUAGAAAUUGAUUUUGAUGAUGAGAUUCGUGCUCUAAUCGUCUUGGCUUCUUUGCUAAACAGUUGGGAGGCAAUGAGGAUGACAAUAAGCAAUUCUACAGGAAAGGAAAAGCUCAAAUACAAUGAUAUACAAGAUUUAAUUCUGGCUGAGGAGAUUCACCGAAGAGAUGCAGGCGAAACCUCAGGAUCUAGUUUUGCCCUAAACCUUGAGACAAGAGGCAGAGGUAAUGACAAAAAUUCAAACCAGGGUAGAUCAAAAUCUAGAAAUUCUAAUCGGAACAGAAGCAAAUCUAGAUCAAGCCAACAAGUACAAUGUUGGAACUGUGGGAAAACAGGUCACUUUAAAAGGCAAUGCAAAAUCCCUAAGAAGAAGAAUGAAGAUGAUUCUACUAAUGUUGUAACAGAAGAGGUACAACAUGCAUUACUUCUUGUAGUAGACAGUCCACUCGAUGAUUGGGUUUUGGAUUCAGGAGCUUCGUUUUAUACCAUUCCACACCGAGAAAUCAUACAGAAUUAUGUUGCAGGUGAUUUUGGUAAGGUGUAUUUGGCUGAUGGUUCAGCCUUGGAUGUUGUGGGUCUGGGAGACGUCCGAAUAUCGUUACCCAAUGGGUCUGUUUGGUUACUGGAGAAGUUCGACAUAUUCCUGACCUAAGGAGGAAUCUGAUUUAUGUUGGACAACUUGAUGAUGAAGGACAUGCAAUACUAUUUGUUGGUGGUACUCGGAAGGUUACAAAGGGAACUAGGGUAUUGGCUCGUGGAAAAAAGACCGGUACACUGUAUAUGACCUCAUGUCCAAGAGACACAAUUGCAGUUGCUGAUGCAAGUACUGAUACAAGCCUAUGGCACCGUAGACUUGGUCACAUGAGUGAGAAAGGGAUGAAGAUAUUGUUAUCAAAAGGGAAACUACCAGAAUUGAAGUCCAUUGAUUUUGACAUGUGUGAAAGUUGCAUCUUAGGAAAACAAAAAAAAAGUGAGCUUCUUGAAAACUGGCAGGACACCGAAGGCUGAAAAAUUGGAACUAGUACACACUGAUUUGUGGGGGCCUUCUCUGGUUGCAUCCCUUGGUGGUUCAAGGUACUACAUCACUUUUAUUGAUGACUCAAGCAAAAAGGUAUGGGUUUAUUUUCUGAAAAAUAAAUUUGAUGUAUUUAAAGCUUUUAAGAAGUGGAAGGUCAUGGUUGAGACAGAAACAGAUUUGAAAGUAAAAUGUUUGAGGUCAGAUAAUGGAGGAGAGUACAUAGAUGGAGGGUUUAGUGAGUAUUGCGUUGCACAGGGAAUUAGAAUGGAGAAGACCAUUCCUGGGACACCACAGCAGAAUGGUGUGGUUGAGCGCAUGAACAGAACUCUCAAUGAGCGUGCUAGAAGAUGAGGUUGUAUGUUGGACUACCAAAAACUUUUUGGGCUGAUGCUGUUAGCAUUGCAGCUUACCUGAUAAACCGAGGACCAUCAGUUCCUAUGGAAUUCAGACUUCCUGAGGAGGUUUAGAGCGGUAAAGAGGUGAAGUUUUCACAUUUAAAAGUUUUUUGUUGUAUUUUUUAUGUUCAUAUUGAUUUUGAUGCUCGUAGUAAACUUGAUGCAAAGUCAAAAAUAUGUUUUUUCAUUGGCUAUGGUGAUGAGAAAUUUGGCUAUAGGUUUUGGGAUGAACAAAACAGGAAAAUCAUCAGAAGUAGAAAUGUGAUAUUUAAUGAACAGGUUAUGUACAAUGACAGGUCAACUGUAGUGUCAGAUGUUACAGAGAUAGAUCAAAAGAAAUCUGAGUUUGUCAACUUAGAUGAAUUGAUUGAAAGUAUUGUCCAAAAAGGGAGUGAAGAAGAUAAGGAGAAUGUAAAUUCACAAGUAGAUCAAAGUACACCUGUAGCUGAAGUUCGCAGAUCUUCCAGGAACAUUAGACCUUCACAGCGUUAUUCACCUGUUUUAAAUUAUCUCCUGUUGACUGAUGGUGGUGAGCCAGAGUGUUAUGAUGAGCCUUGUAAGAUGAGAAUUCAAGCAAGUGGGAGUUAAUCAUGAAGGAUGAGAUGGAUUCCUUGUUGGGGAAUCAAAUAUGGGAACUGACUGAAUUGCCAGUAGGAAAGAAGGCUUUGCACAACAAGUGGGUAUACAAAAUAAAGAAUGAGCAUGAUGGUAGCAAACGUUACAAGGCCAGAUUAGUUGUUAAAGGGUUCCAACAGAAGGAGGGCAUUGACUACACAGAGAUAUUUUCUCCAGUUGUGAAGAUGUCAACAAUUAGACUUGUACUUGGAAUGGUGGCUGCAGAAAACUUACAUCUUGAGCAGUUAGAUGUGAAGACAACAUUCUUUCAUGGUGACUUGGAGGAAGACCUUUACAUGAUUCAACCAGAAGGGUUCAUUGUUCAUGGACAAGAGAAUCUAGUCUGCAAACUGAAAAAGAGCUUGUAUGGCCUUAAACAAGCUCCUAGACAAUGGUACAAGAAGUUUGACAAUUUUAUGCAUAGAAUUGGGUUCAAGAGAUGUGAAGCUGAUCAAUGUUGCUAUGUUAAGUCCUUUGACAAUUCUUACAUCAUAUUACUAUUGUAUGUGGAUGAUUUUCUUAUUGCAGGGUCUGACAUUGAAAAGAUUAAUAAUCUGAAGAAGCAAUUGUCCAAACAGUUUGCAAUGAAGGAUUUGGGAGCUGCAAAGCAAAUCCUUGAUAUGAGAAUCAUUAGAGACAAGGCUAAUGGUACAUUGAAGCUUUCACAGUCAGAGUAUGUGAAGAAAGUUCUUAGCAGGUUCAACAUGAAUGAAGCUAAACCAGUGAGCACACCCUUGGGUAGUCAUUUCAAACUAAGCAAAGAACAGUCACCGAAGACAGAAAAAGAAAGGGACCAUAUGAGCAAGGUGCCCUAUGCCUCAGCUAUUGGCAGCUUGAUGUAUGCUAUGGUGUGUACAAGGCCAGACAUUGCACAUGCAGUGGGAAUUGUGAGUAGAUUCAUGAGUAGGCCUGGAAAGCAGCAUUGGGAGGCAGUCAAGUGGAUUCUAAGAUAUCUGAAGGGUUCAUUAGAUACAUGUCUUUGCUUCACAGGUGCAAGUUUGAAACUGUAGGGUUAUGUAAAUGCUGAUUUUGCUGGUGAUAUUGAUAGUAGAAAGAGUACUACUGGGUUUGUUUUUACUCUAGGUGGUACAACUAUAUCAUAGGCUUCAAAUCUACAGAAGAUUAAUUGUUACUUUGUCUACUACAGAAGCUGAAUAUGUUGCAGCAACUGAAGUUGGAAAGGAGAUGAUUUGGCUACAUGGUUUCUUAGAUGAAUUAGGUAAGAAGCAGGAGAUGGGCAUUCUACACAGUGAUAGUCAGAGUGCAAUUUUUCUUGCCAAAAAUUCGGCUUUUCAUUCAAAGUCGAAGCAUAUACAAACAAAAUACCACUUUAUCCGUUAUCUUGUUGAAGAUAAACUGGUAAUACUUGACAAGAUUUGUGGAUCUAAGAACCCGGCAGACAUGUUGACUAAGGGUGUCACUAUUGAGAAGUUGAAGUUGUGCGCAGCUUCAAUUGGUCUUCUAGCUUGAGGACAGGAGGAUGAGUUGUAGGGAUGAAGGAUUGUUUCUUGGAUGAUAGCGGUUUGAUGUUGGUGAUUGAACUAAUCUCCAAGUGGGAGAUUUGUUGGGCUUUGUGGAACCUAGUUUUGUUUGAUCCGGUUUGGCAACCUGACCCGAAUAAUAUUGCAUGGCUUUUUAAUGGGAGAUUCACUAAGGCUUGUUGGGCCCGUUUAGCCCAUUGUGGAACCACCUUUUGUAAUUAGGGUUUUUUAGUGUAGUGUGGUUGUUAUGUUAUAUAUAGAGAGAAAAUAUUGUAGCCGCUGUGGUGGUACUCUAUAUUCUUCCCUGAUAAUAGUGAUAUCUCUGCAACUCCGUGGACGUAGGCAAAUUGCCGAACCACGUAAAUACUGUCUUGUGCGUGUGAUUGUUUUUCUUUGGCGUGUGUUUUCUCUAAUUUUUGUUUCUCAUGGGUUGGGAAUUCAGUUUAAUUCCCUACAUGUUCAACUUAUACCUCUUCAUUUAUAAAGCCAUUUAAGAAAGCACUUUUCACAUCCAUUUGAUAUAAAACAAAGUCUUUAAAACAUGCAAAGGCAAUUAGCAUCCUAAUGGCUUCCAAUCUAGCUACGGGAGCAAAGGUUUCUUCAUAAUCUAUCACUUCUUCUUUAUUAAAACCUUGGGCUACCAAUCUUGCUUUAUUCCUUAUAAUUAUGUCAUUUUCAUCCAUUUUAUUUCUAAAGACCUAUCUAGUUCCAAUAACACUUUGAUUUUGAGGUCUUGGCACUAAUUCCCAUACUUCACUCCUUUCAAAUUGAUUUAACUCUUCUUGCAUGGCAAUCAUCCAAUUUUCAUCAAUUAGAGCAUCUUUUAUAGUUUUAGGUUCAAUUUGAGAGAUAAAAGCAAGAUUAUUGCAAAUAUUUCUAAGAGAUGAUCUAGUUCUUACCCCACUAGAUGGAUUACCUAUAAUUUGAUCUUGUAGGUGGUUGAUGACAAACUUCCAAUCUUUAGGGAGGUCUUGGCUUGAUUCACCUUGCACUUGUUGAAGAGGAGGUAGUGCCAAAGGUGAUUCUUCUUUCUUGGGAUCCUCUACAACUUCUUCUUAUUGCCUUCUAUCUUCAAUUUGUAAUUUUCCCAUAGAGGUCUCCAACCCUAAAUCAUCAUCAAAGCUCUCUCUUUCUUGGAGAGAAUUGUUAGAUUCAUAAAAAAUAACAUGGAUGGACUCCUUAACAACCAUGGUUCUUUUGUUAAAAACUCUAAAGGCUUUACUUGAAGUUGAGUAACCAAGAAAAAUUCCAACAUCCGAUUUUGCAUCAAAUUUUCCAAAUUUGUCUUUAGUGUUUAAUAUAAAUCAUUUGCACCCAAAGACUUUGAAAUAGCUAAUGUUGGGUUUCUUGUUUUUCCAAAGCUCAUAGGGAGUUUUCUUAAGAAUAGGCCUUAAUAAAAUUCUAUUUAAAACAUAACAAGAAGUGUUAACCGCUUCAGCCCAAAAGUAUUUUGGUAAAUUGUUUUCAUUUAGUAUGGUUCUAGCCAUUUCUUGAAGAGUUCUAUUUUUCCUUUCAACUACCCCAUUUUGUUGAGGAGUUCUAGGAGCCGAAAAUUUGUGAUUAAUACCAUGCUCAUUGCAAUAGUCUUCAAAAUUAAUAUUUUCAAAUUCUCUCCCAUGAUCACUUCUUAUACAAGUAAUUGUAAAACCUUUUUCAUUUUGAACCUUGUUGCAAAACUUUGAAAACUCAUAAAAGGCUUCAUUCUUUUGACUUAAAAAUAAGACCCAAGUGUAUCUAGAGAAGUCAUCCACAAUAACAAAAGCAUAAGAUUUUCCUCUAAGGCUUGGUGUCCUAGAGGGACCAAAUAAAUCCAUAUGCAACAAUUCAAGAUGCAUAGUUGUUGAAAUGAAAUUUUUGUUUUUAAAAGAGUUUUUGAUUUGCUUUCCCACUUGACAAGCUUCACAAACUUUGUCUUUUUGAAAAUUUAUUUUGGGAAGGCCUCUAACAAGUUCAUCUUUGUUGAGUUGGGAAAUGAGGUCCAUGUUAGCAUGUCUCAACCUCCUAUGCCACAACCAACUUUGAUCAUGCAUGCUUGAAAAGCAUCUAUCAUGGCCAUCAUAUUUUGAAAUAUUUAUUGCAUAAACAUUAUCACAUCUAUGGCCCAUGAAGAUGGUUUUAUCAUUUUGAAUAUCUUUGAUGAUGCAAUGAGAUGCUUCAAAAAUCACUUUAAAACCUUUGUCACAAAGUUUUCUUAUGCUCAAAAGAUUAUGUUUUAAACCAUCCACUAAUAAAACACUUUCAAUAAGAGAGGAUAUGUCAUUACCAAUGUUGCCUUGACCAAUGAUCAUUCCUUUUGAAUUGUCUCCAAAGGUAACGUAUCCUCCCUUUCUCUUUGUAAGGAAAGCAAACUUGGAUUCAUCCCCGGUCAUGUGUCUUGAGCAUCCACUAUCCAAGAACCACUUAUCCUUCUUUGAUCCCUAUAAAAUAAAAUUUAAGCUGAUUUAGGUACCUAUAUCUUUUUGGGUCCUUGAGGGUUAGUGACCUUGGAUUUCUCAACCCAAACCUUUUUAGGUUUAGCAUUUGAAUUCUUUUGAGAACAAUUUCUUAAGGGACAUGUACUACAAAUGUGCCCUCCUCUUCCACAAAAGUUGCAAGUGGUGGAAGGACUUGCACUUGCGGAUUCUUUUACAAAGUAGUUUUUAAAAUACUUUUGAUUUUUUUUUUUAAGAUUUGAAUCCUAGCCCUUGUUUGUCAAAGACACAUUUUUGGCUAGCUAAGAUCAUUUCAAAAUAUUUUUGUCCACAAGAGAAAAUUGAAAGAGAGGAGGUUAACCAUUCAUUUUUCUUUUUCAAAAUCUCAUUUUCUUUUUCAAGAUGAGUUUUAGAUAUUUCAACAAUUGAAAAUCUUUCUUUCACUUCUUCAAGUUCCUUUUCAAGUUCUUGAAUUUUCUUUUUAAGAGAAUUAUUUUUCAAACUAAGUUUUUCAAAAUCCUCAUAUAAUUCUUUAAAAACAUCAUGCAUAUCUUUAUCACUAAAGUUAGAUUUUACCUCAUCAAGAUCAUCUAUUUCCAUAAAGCACAUGUUUGCCACUUCCUUCUCAUUUUCUUCUUCAGAGGAUUCUUCACUUUCACUCCAAGUGGCCAUCAUUGCCUUCUUCAUUCUUCUCUUGGCUUCACUCUUGUAGAGAGGACAAUCAUAUUUAAUGUGUCCCGAUUUUUUGCACUUGAACCAUAUCAAAUCUCUUUUCUCUUCCCAUUUCUCCUUGUCACCAUGGGAUGAAGAUUCCUUUUUAGAAGGAUCCCUUCCAAAGGUGAAUUUCCUUCCUCUAAACCUUUCACUUCUCAUGUAUUUGUUGAGCUCUCUUGUGAUGAGGGCUAAAUCAUCAUCUUCAUCACUUGGCUUUUCUUCUUCAAAAUCUUCUUCUUCCUUGGUUGUAGCUUUGAGGGUUAUACUCUUCUUCUUUUUGUCUUCACCCUCUUGUAGCUUCUUUGUCAAAUUGAUCUCAUAUGUCAUUAAUGACCCUAUGAGCUCUUCUAUAGGUAGCUUAGUCAAGUCUUUUGCUUCUUGAAUUGCGGUGACCUUGGUAUGCCAUUUUGAUGGGAGAGACCUCAAUAUCUUCAUCACCUUCUCGAAUUCCUUGUAGGUUUUUCCCAAAGCUUCAAGACCAUUGACAAUGUCGGUGAACCUAGUAAUCAUCUCAACAAUAGUCUCAGUUUCUUUCAUUGAAAAUAAUUCAUAGUUAUGAACAAGUAAAUUGAUUUUUGACUCUUUCACUUGAUUAGUUCCUUCAUGAGUUAUUUCAAGCAACCUCCAAAUUUCUUUAGCCGAUUUGCAUUGUCAUAUUCUAUUAUAUUCAUUUCUAUCCAUAGCACAUUGCAAAGUAAAACCGGCUUUAGCAUUUAAUUGAAAGUUUCUUCUAUCAAGCUCACUCCAUUCUUGCUUGGGUUUUGGAACCAAAACUCCAUCAACUAGUUUAGUGGAAAAAGUUGGGUCAUCUUCAAUGACAUCCCAUACAUCUAAAUUAGUUGAUUGCAAAUACCAAGUCAUUUUAGUUUUCCAAUAGGAAUAGUCGGUUCCCGUAAAGAAUGAAGCUCUAUGUUUUGAAAAAAUUUCAGCUUGGGAUGAGCUUGAUGGAAUAGCCAUUUCCUCUUAGACGAUUAAGUCUUUAGAAAAAAACAAGAGGUCUAGCUCUGAUACCAAUUGAGAAAACAAAGGCUAUACUUAGUUAAGAAAAACACCCAAAAGGGGGGAGAGGGUGGUGAAUUGGGUUUUUAAAAUCUUUUCAAUCACAACAAAUUCAAACACAAUAUAAGCAAAAUAAAGAGAUAGAGUUUAGAGAAUUCAAACUUAGGUUUAUAGUGGUUCGGCACUUCCUUGCCUACGUCCACUCUCCUCAACCUCCUAAUUGAGUGAGGGUUCCACUAACUUGAAGCUUCAACCAAGCUUCCAAUCUUCUUACACUUAGAUUCUGGCUCCAAUGGGCUCUUACACAAUCUCUUCAAGAUUCAAACCUCUUGAAGGCUUUGACACUCAGAUUUUUAUAAGAAAUGAUCCCUCAACCUAGCUUAAGGAUAGCUCAAAUACAAGACAAAGCUAGGAUGACACACAAGAGUGCACUAAAUGAUAUGCAAGUGGUGAUUUAAUGCACUAUGAAAGAAAUGAGAGCUUUUUUAUCAAGAACAGGUAGGUAGGCUAUUGAAUGCAAGUGUUCUAUUGUAAUAAAUGAAGUGGAGCUCUCAAUUUAUUGGUUUCAAAACUCGGGAGUCAAAAACAGCAAAAGGUAACCUCGUCCGGUCGAGCUAAGGGUCGACCGGUUCACUAGCCAUUGGAGCAUUUAAUGCAUGACAGGUUACCGUUGCCUUAACCGGACCUCGACCGGUCCUCGACCGGACAUCGAUCGGUAAGAGAAUCCCCUCGACCGGGAAGAGAAGGCUACUGGGAAAGAGAGAAACUUUUUGGCCUCCCUCGACCGGUCCUUGACCAGACGAGCACAACCGGUUUACCGGUUCCUUAACCGAUUGAGCUGGUUGGCCAUAGCCUCGACCGAUUGAGCCUUUUUUGCCCCGAAAACCUAUUUUUUUAAUUCCUUUCUUUUCUAACACUUAGGCAAGGUCUUUAGGUAAAUCAUUAAGCCAAUUAUAAAAUAUUUUGCCUAAGGUACAUUACUUAAAAACUCAGGUUUUAAUGAAAUCGACGUUUUAAAUAAUAAACCAAGUUUUCAAAGAUGCAUGAAAUGUGUGAAAAUCCUAAGUGCACUCAUGCAUUCAUCUUACAUUAGUUUCCUAUUAUCACAAGUCUUACAAGCGUCUCGAUCUUGUAUCCAUUUGGUCCUUUGAUGAAUUUUCGAGUUUAUGCCUGAGAUUCUUAACCAUUAAAUAAAUUAGUCACUUAACCAUGGUUUGUUAUCAUCAAAACCCGAUUAGGAGAACCCUUGGGCUAACAAUAGCAAUAUCAUUUCCAGUGUUUAUUAAAUCAUCCACACAUAAAUAAACAAUGAGCAUUUUUCCUCCAUCACCAAUUUUAACAAAAAGUGUAUGCUCACAUUUUUUAAAACCUUUCUUCAAAAAAUAAGCAUCAAUCCUCCUACUAUACCAAGCUUGUGGGGCUUGUUUUAGUCCAUAUAAAGUUUUCUUUAAUUUAUACACUUUAUGCUCAUUUCCAACCUUAAUAUAACCAAGAGGUUGAUUAAUAAAUACCUGUUAAGAAUUGAGCUAUUUUUCCGUUCACAAACUCCGUUUUGUUGAACAUGUAAGUUGCAGUGAGUUGCCUCCUGAUUCUACGAUUCUCACAAAAGUUUGCAAAUUCUUAUGAGAUGUAUUCUCCACCACAGUCUGUACAAAGAACUUUGAUUGGGCUGCCCAUGUCUUUCUCAACUAGCACUUUAUAGGUUUUAAAGGCUGUAAAAGCUUCAUAUUUCUCCUGCAAAAAAUAUACCUAAGUUUUCUGACUAAAAUCAUCAAUGAAGGUAAUUAUGUAUCUUUUACCUCCAUUUGAAGAUGGAUGUAUUGGGCCACAUAGGUCAUAAUGCACCAGCUCCAAUGCCUUCUUUGCUCUCCAUGACUUUCCUUGUGGAAAUUGAUUUUGGUGUUGUUUGCCACUACACAUUCUUCACAAACUUGUUGAGGGAAUUCAAUUUGAGGAAGGCUAGUCACCAUUUUUUUUUUAUUAUAAUGUCUUGAGUCGAAAAUGCCAAAGCCUUGCAACAUCCUCCAUCUUAGUAGAGAAGCAUAAAUUAGUAACACUAUGGAGAUACAAAGGAAACAUACGAUUGGCAGUCAUAUGGACUUGAGCAAUCAGGCCUUUCUUUGAAUCAUGAAUUUUGCUCCAAUGAUUUCUCCUCCUAUGCAUGUGUCUCUCAACCAAGCACACAUUUUCUCCCUCUGAUAUCAACUUCCAUAGUCUUGUAUUUUUGCCCACGUUUUGAGGCAACAUGUCAAAGGCGAAGGUGAAAAACUUUAUGAAAGAGGAUUUGAUGAAAACAAAAAUGUUUUUAUGACUAUAGUUAAGAAUUCACUCAAGGCUUUUAUCAUUUUUAGAUUGUCAAUUAUAUUUUUCAUCUUUUUUGGACAAUGGUUGAUGUACAAAAGGUUUUAUAGUUAAGAAUUAACUCAAAGCUUCAUCAUCGUCUUUUUCAAGGAGUUAUAUAACCUCAUAUAUUCAAGGACAUACUCUUGGUACUUAUCAAAACAAUUAAUCUUAAUCAGUCAUGAUAAAAACUCAAUUAAUCCUAGAUUGACUAUUCAAAAUAUGUGCCAUCAAUAUGCCUUUAUUACAACAAAAAUUAGUGCUUUUGAAAAAUUAAUGUUUUUAUAUAAAGGACAAACAUUCAAACUUGGUGUGCAAUUCCUCGUGACAGUAUCCCAUUUAAUUUUUAGUAUAAACAUAUUCUAUUUUCACUAUGUUAUUUUUAACAAGCUCCCUAAUAUAGUAUAAUCAAAUGUUAAUAUGCUUAGUCCUACUACGCUUAUUGAAAUCGAAGCAAUUAUUGCACUACUAUUAUCACACAAGAUGAACAUAGUAUUGCAUUUGAUUCCAAAAUCUUCUAUCAUCUAUUUAAUCCAAUUUAUUGAGUAUAAGAAUUACCUAUACUAUUCAACUUUUGUAGUAGAUAAGCAAAUAUAAUUCUGCCUUUUUCUCAUCCAUGCAACGAAGUUGCUCCUGACGUAAAAUCAACCUCUUGUAGUACUGUUUUAUAAUACAAGAAACCUAGAGUAAUAUUGUUAGUACACUAUAACCCUAAAUUGUAAGAUCUAGCAAUACAGUUGAUGAUCAUUUUUACUAUUGCGAGACGAGAUUCUUUUGGGCUUGAUUGGUAGCACAAAAACCUACACUACAUGCUAUGUCUAGCCUACUAGAUGUAAGAUACAAGAGAUCUCCAAUCAUGCUUCUAUGUGAUGUAGAUUGAUCAAUCUCCUUACUUUUUUCAUCCUUGGAGAACAUAACACUUGUUCUGACAAAGGUUCUCUCAUGUUUAGCUGAUUCCAAGCCAAACUCUUUACCAACUCUAUAGCAUAAUUGACUUCGAUAUAAAGAUUCCAUUUUUAAUCUGUCUUAUUUGCAGUCCAAGAAAGUAAAAUAACUUUUUCAUUGUGCUCAUUUCCUGAAUAAAUUCAUGUGCUUCAUCAGUUAAUGUGAAACUAAAUUUGAUGUUAUCGACAUAUACUUGGGCUACUACAAGGACACCAUCCUUUCUCCUUACAAACAAAGUCCUAUGAAAUGUAUGUCUUUCUUUAUAAGAUGGUUAAAAAAUAUUUUUAAACUUAUUUUUUACGAUGAAGAAUAAAUUUUAAUGAAAGUAGUAGAUGAAGAGUACAUGAGAAAGAAUUUCGUUUUAUAGUAAAAUUUUAUUAGAAUAAAAGGAGUUUCUUUUAUUGUGUGAAUUUUUUAUUUUUUGAAAGAAUUAAGAAUAAAAUAUAAAUUUUUUUUACUAAGAAAAAGGGUAAUAUUAAGACUAAAAUUUCAUAUAAUUUUAAAAAUAAGGGACCAUGUUUUGCUACAAGUGCAAUAUAUCUAAUUUUUUAGAAUUCAAUUAGUAAUGAGUAAUGAGAACAAAAGAAAAAGGAAUCCUAAAUUUUAUAACUACAAAUUAAGAUAUGCAUAUUAAUUAAAUUGAAUUAAAAUUAAAAUAUAAAAUUGAAUAUUAUAAUUAUAUAAGAAGAUGUGACAACAAAUAAAAUCGUUCUAAUGUGAUAUUUGAAUGUAUGUCAAGCAAGUAGCAACAUAUGUUUAUGAAAUGGCAAAAGAACAAAAUCCCUUUUUAUAAAGAUAUGAAAGUCCCCUAUUUUUCCCAAAACAGACAUUAAUUGAAGAAGAUGGCAUGUGGUGCGCCCAUUCAAAGUGACUGUUAUAUUAAGGGCUCCACAGGCUUGUUAAUGCUGCUUUGUCUCUUGCAUAGGCCCUUUUGUAUACGGUUUGGGAUAAAAGCCUGCUGGGCAUUUACAACCCAUCUUUGUUGGCCUCUUCUCAGCUUUGACCAAAUCCUAGCUUUCACAUGCACACCUGCACCAUUUCUUGUUCCUGCUCUACAGGACCGGCGAAAAUGACAACAUAUCUUGUUUUCAAAAUCAAGAGGAGUGCACCUACUAUAUUUUAUUGAGCUUAAUGUGAUUUGUCAUCAAAAUAAGGGUUUUAAGAAAAGGAACUUAUCUUAGUCUACUACAAUGUGAACAUCUUAGUUUAGAUGACACAAGUAGUACAUUCCUAUCCAACGAGAAUGAGAAUAGGAAUCUAAGUUUUCAAUGUGAAGAAUAUAGUCUAAGUCUAGGUGAUAUGAUAAGUAUAUUUCUAUCCAAUGAGAAUAUUAAAACUUUAAAAAAAAAAUGCUGCACAACACCCACAUAAUAUUUAUUUCAUCAAUACUUAGAAAACACAAACUCGAGUAGCACGAUAAGUUAUAAAAGAAACAUCUUUCUUUAAAGCGCUCUCCAAUCAUGGACAACACUCUCAAGAAGUCCCAAACGUAGAGGCAAACACAAUUUUAUUACCCUUGAUAAUAUUAUUAGGCAAGGGAGGGGGAUUGGACCAAUGCAACUAGUCCUAGAAGCAUCACUUGGCAUUUCACAUCACAGCUUUUCCUCUUUGGUGUGGUACUUGACGUUGAAGCAAUUGACGCCAACGUAAACACCAUCAUCCAUAUUGUAAACAACAUUUUUCCCGUCGGUCAAAGUGUCGUGCUGAGUGUAGGAGAAAGGGACGUCGCACGAACCCUGUGUUGCUAUCAUGCUUACGGUCACCUUAGUCAUCGCCGGCACAGUAACAUUGUACACAGUCUCCAUUGCUGUUGUCACUGAUUCAGUUUCUCCCCACUCAUAUGUACCGCUAAACUCGGAUGAAAUUUCUAACUUUCCGUCAGCGAUGAAUGGAACGCCGCUUUCCAUGGUCAUUUUGACACCCAACUUCAAUGAGACGCUGCCCUUCCAAGUACGGCUCUUAGUCUCUGUAUACGAGAGCUUCACCUGUUGGGUGUGCAGUUCUUGGGUCAUGUUAAUGGCUUCCCCGGUGGUCAUCACGAUGACCCUCUGGUCGUAGGUCCUAGCGUCCAUGAGGCGAAAAUUGACAUUAUAGAUGUUUCUUGAUAAAACAAGCUCUGCCACCUCCAGGCGUGCCUCUCUGGAAAUUGUGGAGACCCCGGCAUUGAGACAGCUGAUCUUGCCCUCGGUGGUGAGUCUCUUACAGAAAUUGUUGUUACCUAAGUUGCGGAGAGCGACCACAUUUUUGUCAACUCUAACGGGCCAAAACAAGGUAUCGGGGUUGUUGGUGGUGGAAUCAUCUGAGUCAGCCCAUAUCCAGUUAGGGCUGCGCCUCCAGAAUCUGCCGAAGUAAUCUGACUUUAUGUGGACACUUCCAUCGUGAGUGGUGAAGACCUCGUUCCCCACCGUCGGGUCUCCAAU